Molecule: ribosomal RNA, 466 nt
Filed under: uncultured bacterium
Lineage: Bacteria
Description: partial 16S ribosomal RNA
Rfam family: Bacterial small subunit ribosomal RNA
Source: RNAcentral
GACGAACGCUGGCGGCGCGCCUAACACAUGCAAGUCGAACGAGCGAGAGGGAGCUUGCUUUCUCGAGCGAGUGGCGAACGGGUGAGUAACGCGUGAGGAACCUGCCUCAAAGAGGGGGACAACAGUUGGAAACGACUGCUAAUACCGCAUAAGCCCACGGUGCCGCAUGGCACAGAGGGAAAAGGAGCAAUCCGCUUUGAGAUGGCCUCGCGUCCGAUUAGCUAGUUGGUGAGGUAAUGGCCCACCAAGGCGACGAUCGGUAGCGGGACUGAGAGGUUGAACGGCCACAUUGGGACUGAGACACGGCCCAGACUCCUACGGGAAGCAGCAGUGGGGAAUAUUGCACAAUGGGGGAAACCCUGAUGCAGCGACGCCGCGUGGAGGAAGAAGGUCUUCGGAUUGUAAACUCCUGUUGUUGGGGAAGAUAAUGACGGUACCCAACAAGGAAGUGACGGCUAACUACGUG